UCCCUUAGACGUUCUGGGCCGCACGCGCGCUACACUGACUAGUCCAACGAGUGUUUGUACCUUUGCUGAUAGGCAUGGGCAAUCUCUGAACACUAGUCGUGAUAGGGAUCGAUUUUUGGAAUUAUUAAUCGUCAACGAGGAAUCCCUAGUAAACGCGAGUCAUCAGCUCGCAUUGAUUACGUCCCUGCCCUUUGUACACACCGCCCGUCGCACCUACCGAUUGAAUGGUCCGGUGAAGCCUCCGGAUUGGACGCGCUGGCCCUGCCAGACGGCCGAGAAGUUGGCUAAAUCUUACCAUUUAGAGGAAGGUGAAGUCGUANCA
This 322-nucleotide ribosomal RNA is filed under the name uncultured eukaryote. RNAcentral describes it as "partial 18S ribosomal RNA". It matches the Rfam family "Eukaryotic small subunit ribosomal RNA", at positions 1469 to 1796 of the family's 1831-position model. The record is from RNAcentral.